RNAcentral lists this ribosomal RNA (497 nucleotides) under uncultured bacterium. Its description in RNAcentral is "partial 16S ribosomal RNA". It matches the Rfam family "Bacterial small subunit ribosomal RNA", at positions 28 to 507 of the family's 1533-position model. The record is from RNAcentral.
GAUGAACGCUGGCGGCGUGCCUAAUACAUGCAAGUCGAGCGAACGGACGAGAAGCUUGCUUCUCUGAUGUUAGCGGCGGACGGGUGAGUAACACGUGGAUAACCUACCUAUAAGACUGGGAUAACUUCGGGAAACCGGAGCUAAUACCGGAUAAUAUUUUGAACCGCAUGGUUCAAAAGUGAAAGACGGUCUUGCUGUCACUUAUAGAUGGAUCCGCGCUGCAUUAGCUAGUUGGUAAGGUAACGGCUUACCAAGGCAACGAUGCAUAGCCGACCUGAGAGGGGGAUCGGCCACACUGGAACGGAGACACGGUCCAGACUCCUACGGGAGGCAGCAGUAGGGAAUCGUCCGCAAUGGGCGAAAGCCUGACGGAGCAACGCCGAGUGAGUGAUGAAGGUCUUCGGAUCGUAAAACUCUGUUAUGAGGGAAGAACAUAUGUGUAAGUAACUGUGCACAGCUUGACGGUACCUAAUCAGAAAGCCACGGCUAACUACGUG